This 620-nucleotide ribosomal RNA is filed under the name uncultured bacterium. RNAcentral describes it as "bacterial SSU rRNA". It matches the Rfam family "Bacterial small subunit ribosomal RNA", at positions 338 to 1416 of the family's 1533-position model. The record is from RNAcentral.
CCUACGGGAGGCAGCAGUGAGGAAUAUUGGACAAUGGGCGCAAGCCUGAUCCAGCCAUGCCGCGUGCAGGAAGACGGUCCUAUGGAUUGUAAACUGCUUUUAUACAGGAAGAAAUACUUUCUCGUGAGAGAGCUUGACGGUACUGUAAGAAUAAGGAUCGGCUAACUCCGUGCCAGCAGCCGCGGUAAUACGGAGGGUCCAAGCGUUAUCCGGAAUCAUUGGGUUUAAAGGGUCCGUAGGCGGUUUAAUAAGUCAGUGGUGAAAUCUGGUCGCUCAACGAUCAAACGGCCAUUGAUACUGUUAGACUUGAAUUAUUGUGAAGUAACUAGAAUAUGUAGUGUAGCGGUGAAAUGCUUAGAUAUUACAUGGAAUACCAAUUGCGAAGGCAGGUUACUAACAAUGGAUUGACGCUGAUGGACGAAAGCGUGGGGAGCGAACAGGAUUAGAUACCCUGGUAGUCCACGCCGUAAACGAUGGAUACUAGCUGUUGGGCGCAAGUUCAGUGGCUAAGCGAAAGUGAUAAGUAUCCCACCUGGGGAGUACGUUCGCAAGAAGAGAAGACAAGUAGAAGUUAGUACGGCGUAGAGACGAGCCGACGGACGACGACGAGGGAGGAGGNG